Molecule: ribosomal RNA, 253 nt
Filed under: uncultured bacterium
Lineage: Bacteria
Description: partial 16S ribosomal RNA
Rfam family: Bacterial small subunit ribosomal RNA
Source: RNAcentral
UACGGAGGGUGCAAGCGUUACCCGGAUUCACUGGGUUUAAAGGGUGCGUAGGCGGGCAGGUAAGUCAGUGGUGAAAUCUCCGGGCUUAACCCGGAAACUGCCGUUGAUACUAUCUGUCUUGAAUAUCGUGGAGGUAAGCGGAAUAUGUCAUGUAGCGGUGAAAUGCUUAGAUAUGACAUAGAACACCCAUUGCGAAGGCAGCUUACUACACGAUCAUUGACGCUGAGGCACGAAAGCGUGGGGAGCAAACAGG